RNAcentral lists this ribosomal RNA (208 nucleotides) under uncultured bacterium. RNAcentral's name for it is "partial 16S ribosomal RNA". It matches the Rfam family "Bacterial small subunit ribosomal RNA", at positions 568 to 775 of the family's 1533-position model. The record is from RNAcentral.
CACGCAGGCGGUUUUUUAAGUCAGAUGUGAAAGGUACCGGCUCAACCGGUGACAUGCAUUUGAAACUGAAAGACUUGAGUAUUGGAGAGGCAAGUGGAAUUCCUAGUGUAGCGGUGAAAUGCGUAGAUAUUAGGAGGAACACCGGUGGCGAAGGCGGCUUGCUGGACAAAUACUGACGCUGAGGUGCGAAAGCGUGGGGAGCAAAACA